UGGGGAAUAUUGGACAAUGGGCGCAAGCCUGAUCCAGCAAUGCCGCGUGAGUGAUGAAGGCCUUAGGGUUGUAAAGCUCUUUCGCCCGCGACGAUGAUGACGGUAGCGGGAGAAGAAGCCCCGGCUAACUUCGUGCCAGCAGCCGCGGUAAUACGAAGGGGGCGAGCGUUGUUCGGAUUUACUGGGCGUAAAGGGCGCGUAGGCGGCGCCGCAAGUCGAGUGUGAAAGCCCCGGGCUCAACCUGGGAAUUGCGCUCGAGACUGUGGUGCUGGAGUUCGGGAGAGGAGCGUGGAAUUCCCAGUGUAGAGGUGAAAUUCGUAGAUAUUGGGAAGAACACCGGUGGCGAAGGCGGCGCUCUGGACCGAGACUGACGCUGAGGCGCGAAGGCGUGGGGAGCAAACAGGAUUAGAUACCCCCGUAGUCC
Molecule: ribosomal RNA, 424 nt
Filed under: uncultured bacterium
Lineage: Bacteria
Description: bacterial SSU rRNA
Rfam family: Bacterial small subunit ribosomal RNA
Source: RNAcentral